Molecule: unclassified non-coding RNA, 263 nt
Filed under: plant metagenome
Description: partial contains small subunit ribosomal RNA, internal transcribed spacer 1, and 5.8S ribosomal RNA
Source: RNAcentral
UCUCCGUAGGUGAACCUGCGGAAGGAUCAUUAUUGUGUAACCGAGGAUCCAGGGCUGUCGAUCACACGAAAGGUCGUGGAUGCCAGAGUGCCCUCACACACAACAAUCUCACCCCUAUGUGCACCACCUCGUUGGUCCCCCUUUAGCUUGAUCGGAGAAUGGCUUACGGUUUCACACAAACUUUGUAUGCAGUGUAGAAUAUAUUUUUUGUGUUUGCGAUCGCGCAAUCAAAACAACUUUCAACAACGGAUCUCUUGGUUCUA